GAAUGCUGACAUAAGUAACGAUAAAGCGGGUGAAAAGCCCGCUCGCCGGAAGACCAAGGGUUCCUGUCCAACGUUAAUCGGGGCAGGGUGAGUCGACCCCUAAGGCGAGGCCGAAAGGCGUAGUCGAUGGGAAACGGGUUAAUAUUCCCGUACUUGGUGUUACUGCGAAGGGGGGACGGAGAAGGCUAUGUUGGCCGGGCGACGGUUGUCCCGGUUUAAGCGUGUAGGUGUGUGUUCCAGGUAAAUCCGGUUCACUUUAACACUGAGGCGUGAUGACGAGGCACUACGG
RNAcentral lists this ribosomal RNA (289 nucleotides) under Salmonella enterica subsp. enterica serovar Infantis. RNAcentral describes it as "partial 23S ribosomal RNA". It matches the Rfam family "Bacterial large subunit ribosomal RNA", at positions 1292 to 1582 of the family's 2925-position model. RNAcentral also lists the same sequence under 1 other name. Lineage: Bacteria; Pseudomonadati; Pseudomonadota; Gammaproteobacteria; Enterobacterales; Enterobacteriaceae. The record is from RNAcentral.